UGUUCAUCUUCCGAUCUCGUGUUCACUUGUUUUUACGAAUACAUGGUGGACGGUUCGUACAGAUUUUGUAAGUGAUCGACGAUAUUAUUUGUGCAUAGUGGAGAGUGAAGAAAAAACUUGGCUAUUAUUAUAAUAGCUUAUUCACGUUGAAUUGAGGAAUAAUCCUCGUGCCACGUGUCUACAUAACCUUUAUUUUAACCGCGGAAUAUUGGAUAUUUCCCGGUUUAAUACGACGAUUAGUGAGAAAGAGGAUAAAUAUAAAAAGUCUCUGCUCAUCAAUAUCAGCGAUAGUUAUAUAGAAAAUCGAGGAAUAAUCCUCGUACCACGUGUCUACAUAACCUUUAUUUUAACCGCGGAAUAUUGGAUUUUUCCCGGUUUAAUACGACGAUUAGUGAGAAAAAGGAUAAAUACAAAAAGUCUCUGCUCAUCAAUAUCAGCGAUAGUUAUAUAGAAAAUCGAGGAAAUAUUCUCGUGCCCCGUGUGUGCAUAACCUUGACCUUAACAGAUCGCGGAAUAUUGAAGUUUUCCCGGUUUAAUACGACGAUUAGUGAGAAAGAGGAUAUAUAUAAGAGUGUCUCUGCUCAUCGAUAUCAACGAUUGUUAUACAGAAA
Molecule: non-coding RNA, 611 nt
Organism: Nylanderia fulva
Lineage: Eukaryota; Metazoa; Arthropoda; Insecta; Hymenoptera; Formicidae
Source: RefSeq, a predicted model, not a curated record